This 465-nucleotide ribosomal RNA is filed under the name Vreelandella stevensii. RNAcentral's name for it is "partial 16S ribosomal RNA". It matches the Rfam family "Bacterial small subunit ribosomal RNA", at positions 338 to 795 of the family's 1533-position model. Lineage: Bacteria; Pseudomonadati; Pseudomonadota; Gammaproteobacteria; Oceanospirillales; Halomonadaceae. The record is from RNAcentral.
CCUACGGGAGGCAGCAGUGGGGAAUAUUGGACAAUGGGGGGAACCCUGAUCCAGCCAUGCCGCGUGUGUGAAGAAGGCCCUCGGGUUGUAAAGCACUUUCAGUGAGGAAGAACGCCUGGUGGUUAAUACCCAUCAGGAAAGACAUCACUCACAGAAGAAGCACCGGCUAACUCCGUGCCAGCAGCCGCGGUAAUACGGAGGGUGCGAGCGUUAAUCGGAAUUACUGGGCGUAAAGCGCGCGUAGGUGGCUUGAUAAGCCGGUUGUGAAAGCCCCGGGCUCAACCUGGGAACGGCAUCCGGAACUGUCAAGCUAGAGUGCAGGAGAGGAAGGUAGAAUUCCCGGUGUAGCGGUGAAAUGCGUAGAGAUCGGGAGGAAUACCAGUGGCGAAGGCGGCCUUCUGGACUGAAACUGACACUGAGGUGCGAAAGCGUGGGUAGCAAACAGGAUUAGAUACCCGGGUAGUC